GCCUCCUUGGCUCAGUUGGUUAGAGCGCAGGUCUCAUAAUCCUGAGGUCGCAAGUUCGAACCUUGCAGGGGGCA
RNAcentral lists this transfer RNA (74 nucleotides) under Galerina marginata CBS 339.88. Its description in RNAcentral is "tRNA-Met (CAT) (tRNA-Met-CAT-1-1)". It matches the Rfam family "tRNA". From Rfam's summary of the family: Transfer RNA (tRNA) molecules are approximately 80 nucleotides in length. The record is from RNAcentral. Lineage: Eukaryota; Fungi; Basidiomycota; Agaricomycetes; Agaricales; Galerinaceae.